CGUCCUGGUCGACGGUCAGCCAAUCACCGCCACCAGGCAGAAAUUCUCCGCGCAGCCGAGGCCCCCUUACCUGCCCCGACUUGAUGAUGUAGUUCUGCCGGAACGCGCGCGACGUCAGGAAAGUCUGNNNNNNNNGAUGGAGAAGUCGCAAAUAUGCUCGACUUCGACCUUCUCAAGCAUCGGCACAUCAACGAGAAGGCAGGACUCCAUUUUGACAGCAGCAGUCAUCGAUCAGUUCUCCAGUUUAUUUGAG
Molecule: unclassified non-coding RNA, 253 nt
Filed under: Hevea brasiliensis (rubber tree)
Lineage: Eukaryota; Viridiplantae; Streptophyta; Magnoliopsida; Malpighiales; Euphorbiaceae
Source: RNAcentral